GUUGUUUUGUAUCUUUGUGGUUGUUUUGUGUCUUUUUGUGGUUGUUUUGUGUCUCUUUGUGGUUGUUUUGUGUCUGUUCGUGGUUUUUUAUCUCUUUGUGGUUGUUUUAUGUCUCUGUGGUUGUUUUGUGUCUCUUCGUAGUUGUUUUGUGUGUCUUUGUGGUUGUUUUGUGUCUCUUUGUAGUUUCUCUGAGGACCCACAGUUCUGAAAUGUUUUUCUGUGGAUGUGUCGAGGCCUGAAGUUGUGGUUUUGCCGACAUUCGUCUCUCCUGCUUUAACAGAAACAGGAUGAAUUAGUAAAUGAGCUGAGUGUUGACAUUGGCGUUCAGUCUGAACUUCAGGACUCUGAGGCCUGUCGGGACUCGAACACAGUUACACAACUCCCCACCGUUCACUGCACAUCCCACACGUUAACACAUAUUUAACCGUUAUCACAUGACAGGAAAUGAAACAGCUUGGGUUCAUUUAAUCCCUCAUUUUGUCCAAACGGUUCAUCUGGAAAAUUCCUGGUGCUCACGUACAAAUCUAUUCAUCACAUGGUGCCUUUAAUAUCCAGUAAAUGGAACAACAGGAGAUCUGUCCUGAUCAUGACCUUUACCAGGAUCAUCUCUGACGUUCUAUGAGGUUCUCUCGUUCCAUCGUCCUGCCUGGACAUGUGGAACCCGUCAGCACUCUGCUCUGCAGAAAAUGAAAGCAGACGUCCGUCCAGCUUCCUGUUUCUGGGGAAUUCUGCCUCUCAGUGAGUCAUGAAGCAGCUUCCUGUGGAUUCCUGCCGUCUGACUCACCGGCUUCUCCUCUUCAGGCUGAUCACAACUCUAGCUGACAGACUCUUCAUGGUCCUCCGGUUAUUAAUCCUGUUUCUGUUGGACCUCCAGAAGAAACACAAUGUGGAAUCUUUAUAAUCUGGACCGUCAUAGUUCAGACUCACCUCUUUAAAAACACUUGGAUUAAAUAAUUAUCAUUUUAGAAAAAAGUCAGACUGAAUUAAUCUCCUGAUAAUCUGACUGAUUUAUUAAAAAGGUUGUUAGUUAUUUAUCAUUUUAACUUUACUUCUGAAGCGUGAAAUAUUAAAAAAGUUGACAUUUUCCCUCACAGACACCAGCUGGACUUCAUUCUUUAAGAACCUUUUAAUUUACUUUGGAGAUCCAGUUUAGAACAGAAGAGACAGAAACUAACCAAAAC
Amphiprion ocellaris (clown anemonefish) is the source of this 1181-nucleotide long non-coding RNA. NCBI's taxonomy places the organism in Eukaryota, Metazoa, Chordata, Actinopteri, Pomacentridae. The record is from Ensembl.